This 371-nucleotide ribosomal RNA is filed under the name uncultured bacterium. RNAcentral's name for it is "bacterial SSU rRNA". It matches the Rfam family "Bacterial small subunit ribosomal RNA", at positions 527 to 896 of the family's 1533-position model. The record is from RNAcentral.
GUAGGGUGCGAGCGUUGCCCGGAUUUAUUGGGCGUAAAGGGCGCGUAGGCGGUCACGCACGUCCGUUGUGAAAUCGCUCGGCUCAACUGGGCGGGGUCAGCGGAUACGGUGUGACUGGAGCAAGCUAGGGGGCAAUGGAAUUCCCGGUGUAGUGGUGGAAUGCGUAGAUAUCGGGAGGAACACCAGUGGCGAAGGCGGUUGCCUGGAGCUUUGCUGACGCUGAUGCGCGAAAGCGUGGGGAGCGAUCCGGAUUAGAUACCCGGGUAGUCCACGCCGUAAACGAUGUCGACUAGGUGUCGGGGGUAUCGACCCCCUCGGCGCCGCAGCUAACGCAUUAAGUCGACCGCCUGGGGACUACGGCCGCAAGGCUA